RNA transcript from Cuculus canorus (common cuckoo), 5445 nucleotides. It is a transcript of the gene named RNA polymerase III subunit G, with no coding region annotated. The transcript has 7 exons. The record is from RefSeq and is a predicted model, not a curated record. Lineage: Eukaryota; Metazoa; Chordata; Aves; Cuculiformes; Cuculidae.
AUCUACAGCUUGGCUUUUCCCUUAGUAUUUCUCUCACUUCAUGGUGUUGGUAGACAUAAACCUGCUAAGCCAGAAUGCUUGAAAGAAUUGUGUCUUUCAGUUAAACUCCAGAGUUGAGAUACUGCCAUUUUGAAGGCUGUUUAAUUCCCAUCACAAUAAUUUUAGGAAGAAAUUCUGAAUGAGGGUGGUGAGGCCCUGGCCCAGGUUGCCCAGAGGAGUUGUGGCUGCCCCAUCCCUGGAGGUGUUCAAGGCCGGGUUAGAUGGGGCUUGGAGCUCCUGAUCCAGUGGGACAUGGAAGGGGGUGGAACUAAAUGGGCUUUAGGACUUUUCCAGCCCAAACCAUUCCAUGAUUCUAUGAUUCUCAUGCACCAUUUCAAUAAAAUGUCACAGAGAAUUAAUUUUAAAGCUGCAUUUUAAAAAUGAGACCUUUAUAUUCACUGUGUUUGCAAACUGUCUUCCUUGCUUUGUUUUCUUCUGUUGUUGUUUCUGGUUUUUUUUCACUGCUAGAUAAUAUAAUUGCUCAUGUUUGUGGCUUACCUGUCUUCUAUCUUUCUUCACUCUGCCAGUCUCGCAUCUUGCUUUUAAUCCUGUUUUCAAAUGAAUUUGCUACUUGUUUUUUCCUUUUCUUUUUAUUUCCAGUUAAUUAACUGCUCAGGGUUAGGUUUUGUUUUGUUGUCUUUAAUGAUUUAUUUAGGUCUUUCUAAUUUUUUUUAGGCAGUUUUCUGUGUUGAUGAGUGAUGUGGAAAUACAUUAUGUGAUUUUGUUUUAUCCAAGCAGAGCUUAUUUCUGUUAAAACUAAUAAGUAAGAGAAUGCUUGCAUCAACCUGUUACUUACUGGUAUUUAAUAUAAAAAGCCAUUUCUUCUGUUUGGGGGAAUCUUACAAGAUCUUAAUCUUUAGUAUGCAUUUCUUGGCUCGUAAUUGUAAUUCUCUACUGCAUUUCUAGUCACUUUAGACAAGUGUAUGAGCAGCUGUAGGUAUUGUGUUGUCUCAUUCCUUGUUUGAACUCAUACACACUAACAGCGAGAUUAGAUGUUAUGAUACAGGUACACCAGAACGUCUGCAACAGAAAAAUUUGUGCCAAGCAAGUAACUGCCGAUGGCUGGGUCAGGCAGAGGGAGAGGACGGGCCUCGUUCACCUUCAACAUUGAGGCUAUUGGCUUUGGUAAAGGUGCAGUUCUACCUGAUGUUGCGUGUCAGCCUCCACCAGUCUUUCCUAGUACAGACAAUAAGCCAGUGCCUCUGAAAACAGGAGAAGAUGAAGAUUACAUGUUGGCCUUAAAACAAGAUCUUAGAGGAACUAUGAAAAAAAUGCCAUAUUUUUUGGCAGUAGAAGAAGAUCGAGAAGCCAUUGAUAGGUACAGUAAAAAGUACAGUGAAAAGGAGCGUGCGACAUGGACACCAGAUUGGAGAAGACUCCCAAGAGAGAUGAAGCCAAGGAAAAAGACUAAAAAAGCUUUCUUCUGCAGAAUUGUGAACCAGAUUCUUCAACAGCAGUUGGAGCUGGUAUUGGUUGUUCUCACAGGAAAAAUCUUUUUUGUUACACAGCAUCAUAUGUGUAUUUGUUUCUCAAAGUGUUUUCCAGUAUGCAUGACUGUUAUUUUAAGUUCAGUUCUCUGUAGAAGUCUGUCGCUGUGUUAAUGUGAAAUAACACUUGGCCUCCUGUGUCUAGCUGUCUGUUACAUGUAAUUGGUUACUUUCUUGUUCUCUUUGUCCAAGUCCUUCAUGUGUCAUUUUUCAGUUCAAGGAUAAAAUAGAAAAAGAAAAGGGAAUGUGUGGUAGUCAUGGAGACUGGCUCAGCUGGCAGCUUUGGUCCUUUUAAGAGCGUCGUUGAGAAGCAUGGUACUAGAGGUAGACUGUGAGAUCCAAUUGAAAAUUAAACACUUAUUUGCAAAAUCUCUAAAGAAGAAACCACUACCUACCUACUUUUUGGAUUUUUUUAAAAAAAGAAACUGCAUUGGCUUUUAUAAACUGGAUGCAAUAAAGAUUCAAUGAAAUAAUAAAUGACGAUUUAGUAUUUGUUUUUUACAAUAAUAUAUUUAUUAUAAACAAAGACAGAAUCACUGCUCGCUGUGACAGAUUUUUCCUCUUUCUUCUGUGCCAGUUUCUCUAUUUGCUCUUAAAAGUGCAUUUUCUAACAUAGCUGUAGUGGCAAAGAUCAGCUGAGCAUCAGAACUUGAUUGGAUGAAAAAAAGAGGUUCUUCUAAAAGCAGAUAUCAUGUGGGUUUAGUUUUAUGGGGAACCCUGAUGAUACAGAGGCCAUACAGAAGUCAUAUGUCUUGGGAAAUUUGUAAGUAGCUGACAAGUGACGCAUUAACUCUUCUGGUCCAUAUCCUUGUUGUAUUUUGAGGACAGCCAUUGUAGGUUGUGCUUUAUGGUCACGUGGAACAAGUAAAGAGAAUCUGCACCGAAUUUCAAACUACUCUGCCUUCGUAGAUUGCAGGGUGGGUUUUGAGCCACUACAGAAUUACAUGCACAGGGGUGACUUCAUUUUACACACCUCUCCCUCUUCCUUUCUUCUUUCCCUUGAGACCUGCCUUCUUAGUAGCAAAAUUUUGGGUGGAAUUCCUCAUCUCUUCCAUGCUAACCCUGAUGUGUGGGCCACAGUAUCCUAGAUAACAGCAGUGCCUGCCAGAAAAAACACCCAAAACCAAGAAACGUUGACUGGGAUCAGCUCUUGUAGGCCAUCUAUAUACAUAUAUCGAGACAGCUAAGAUUAUGCAUUUAAGCAUGAAGAACAGGUAUUUGGAAAGAUUGCAUUGUAUUCCAUUGCAAGGAAGACAAUUGUAAGGAGCUGUUUUGCUUGACAGUCUGCUAAAGAUGGGUCAGUUUCUCUAGUUUUAGGAUAAACCCCAGAGACGCCCAGCAUUUCAGGGAAGAUCAUGCAUGCGUCUCUUCAUUUCCAGGCUGCUUGUUUUGUAGGCAUUACCUCUAAAAGCCUGCAGGGGGUUGUGCAGAGGUGAUAGUUUUGAAUCGCACUUUCCACUUGUUUCCCUUAAAAGCCUACUUAUUCUGGAUGUGUUUGCUUUGAUGCCCUUUUUUGAUGGUUGUACAGAGCAGCUUGACUUUGCUCAGCUCGGUGCAGUGCUUUUGUUACAUCAUCCCUUCCUAGGCAAAACACUGAAAGGAACAAGUAACAUGUGUUACUUGUGACACAUGCUUUUGACAAAAUACCUUUGUCUUCUCAGCAGCUCUUAAGUGUUCUGCUUCCUUAAGGAUUAGGCCAGAUAAAAUAUGUAACCGCACUGGGUUGCUAUCUGCUCUGGGGAGGGUUUCCCCUCCAUUGAUGCAUAUUGUUUUCUUUAGCACCACUUAGCACAACCCAGCAUAGAAAAGGUGCAAGUGAUGUAAGACAGCUUGUCUGGAUCUGCCUUGCCCAUCAGAAGCUGUGGAGAUGCACCAAUGUGGCACUUCACACACUUUUACCCUGCUGAGAAGAGCCAGUCUGCAUUCGGUACAGCCCUGUUUUAUAUGAUCAUCCUGAAUACAGCAGGAGAGCCAAGAGAUGAUUACAUCGUGGUAGCAGGAGGUCUCAAAGAGCUCUCUGAGUGCUGUAACUUCUUUUGGUGUGGAGCUAUUUACUCCUUCUCACUGGUAAGUCAAACUUCACUGCUGGAUUUGGGGCAGCUAUUCCUUUAGUUUAAGGUGCGGCAGUGUAGGUGGUUCUUCAUAGAAUCAUAGAACACUGUAGGUUGGAAGGGACCUUAAAGCCCAUCCAGCUCCAGCCCCACUGUCAUGGACAGGGACACCUUCCACUGGACCAGGGCUCAAAGUCCCAUCCAAGCUGGCCUUCAACACCUCCAGGGAUGGGGCAGCCACAACUUCUCUGAACAGCCUGGGCCAGGGCCUCCCCACCCUCAUCAUGAUGAAUUUCUUCCUAAUGCCUAAUCUAAGUCUUUCCCCUUUCCAAUUUAAAGCCAUUCCCCCUCAUCCUAUGACUCCAUGCCAUUGGAAAAAGUCUCUCCCAGCUUUUCUGUAGCCCCUUUCAGUACUGGAAGCUGCUCUAAGGACUCCCUGGAGAUUUCUCUCCUCCAGGCUGAACAACCCCAAUUCUCUCAGCCUGUCAGCUCUUACCUGGGUACAUGGAAUGCUAUAUUUGACCUUCGCUCCACCAUGUAGUUAAGUAGCGUGAUGAGAUUGCAGGGAGUAGCUUGAUAAAGAUUGUGUUCACGAGUCAGGGGACUAGAUGGAAAUAUGCACUGUGGACUCAUUAGGUGAGAGCCAGCUGUGGUCCAAAAUCCGUCGAGCUGCAGUCACCAGGGCCUGCUGUGUUGGAGCUAAUAAACUCUGCCAUCUUCCUUUUUUUUUUUAAUGUCUUCAAAGUACCCAGCUGUCAUUAGUGUGUUGAACAAAUUAGUAACAAUAGUGAGUUUUUGUCUUUGGAAAGAUAAUGAAAAGUAACAAUGUAGAUUUUGUUCUAGUGUCUUAUCGCGAGUACAAAGGUGAAAAGUGUUUUCAUAGACUUAUGGAAUGGUUUGCAUUGGAAGUGACCUCAAAGCCCAUCCAGUUCCACCCCACUGCCUUGGGCAGGGACACCUCCCACUGAACCAGGUUGGCUCAAGGCCCCAUCCAAGCUGACCUUGAACACCUCCAGGGAGAGAGCAGCUACAACUUCUCAACCUGGGCUAGGGCCUCACCACCCUCAUUGUGAAGAAUUUCUUUAUAAUGUCUAAUCUAAAACUCCCGUGUUCCAAUUUAAAGCCAUUUCCCCUUGUCCAAACACUCCAUGCCUCUGUAAAAAGUCCCUUCUCGGAUUUCCUGGAGCCCCUUUCGGUACUGGAAGCUGCUCUAAGGUCUCCGCAGAGCCUCCUCUUCUCCAGGCUGAACAACCCCAACUCUCUCAGCCUGUCCUCACAGCAGAGGUGCUCCAGCCCUCAGAUCAUUUCUGUGGCCUCUUCUGGACCCAUUCCAACAAUUCCAGAAGCAGACACAGGUGUCCAGGUGGGGUAUCACAAGAGCAGAGUAGAGGGGGAGAAUCCCCUCCCUCACCCUGCUGGCCGUACUUCUUUGGAUGCAGCCCAGGGUACAGUUGGCCUGACUUUUUGAAGCUGCAUGUCAUUCUUUGGCCAAACUUCUGGUCAGCCCUCUGUUCAAAGUGAAUUUCUGACUGGCCCUGUAGGCAUCACUUGGCAUAAGCUGGGCAUUUACACUUCUGUGAAUGAUGUAGCUUCAAGUCUAAGGUAAUUUUAAUACAGGGAUUCCUAUGGCAUUCUCAAGGUGUAAGCUCUUAAGAGGGAGUAAAAUAAUUUGUGUUCUUCCAUAACAGAAAAAAAAAUAAUGGUAAUGUAUUUUAUUUUAACAGGUAUAAUACAAAAAAAAGCAAAAAGCUCCGAGCCUACAAGUAAUCAGGAUGUGUUGAAAAAAAUUGAGGAGUUGGAGAAGAGGGAUGAUGAAGAAGAAAAAUCUGAAGACGAGAAAGAGAAAACAAAAGACAAAGAAGAUGAAG